UGGGGAAUUUUGGACAAUGGGCGAAAGCCUGAUCCAGCAAUGCCGCGUGUGUGAAGAAGGCCUUCGGGUUGUAAAGCACUUUUGUCCGGAAAGAAAUCCUUGGCUCUAAUACAGUCGGGGGAUGACGGUACCGGAAGAAUAAGCACCGGCUAACUACGUGCCAGCAGCCGCGGUAAUACGUAGGGUGCAAGCGUUAAUCGGAAUUACUGGGCGUAAAGCGUGCGCAGGCGGUUUGCUAAGACCGAUGUGAAAUCCCCGGGCUCAACCUGGGAACUGCAUUGGUGACUGGCAGGCUAGAGUAUGGCAGAGGGGGGUAGAAUUCCACGUGUAGCAGUGAAAUGCGUAGAGAUGUGGAGGAAUACCGAUGGCGAAGGCAGCCCCCUGGGCCAAAUACUGACGCUCAUGCACGAAAAGCGUGGGGGAGCAAAACAGGAUUAGAUACCCUGGUAGUCCACGCCCUAAAACGAUGUCAACUAGUUGUUGGGGAUUCAUUUCCUUAGUAACGUAGCUAACGCGUGAAGUUGACCGCCUGGGGAGUACGGUCGCAAGAUU
Molecule: ribosomal RNA, 552 nt
Filed under: uncultured bacterium
Lineage: Bacteria
Description: partial 16S ribosomal RNA
Rfam family: Bacterial small subunit ribosomal RNA
Source: RNAcentral